UACUAUGGCGGACUGUAUAGGGCAUCCUUCGGGAUGGCUGGUAUCGUAGAGACCAGUAAGGCUAACCUUAUACAGUCUGCCACCAAU
RNAcentral lists this non-coding RNA (87 nucleotides) under Agitococcus lubricus. Lineage: Bacteria; Pseudomonadati; Pseudomonadota; Gammaproteobacteria; Moraxellales; Moraxellaceae. The record is from RNAcentral.